UCCGCAGUGCAGUGUAGCAUGGUUGUCUUUCGGUUGGGUUUUUGGUGAUCUUCAGGAUGGUUUCUCAGAGAGUCGUUGUGGGUUUUCUUCUGAUUGUGCUGGUCUAUAAUGUGUUGGGGUUUCUGGCUGAGCAUGAGCAGGCACGUGCAGAAGGGUUCACCCUAUCACGGCUGAUCAGAGACUACAGAGACACUGACAGUGGAACACUGCAGGGGGAUGGAGAUGGAGCUUCUGGCUCUGGAGAUUCAGGCUCUGGAGAUCCUGCAGCUGUAGUGUUGAAAUGAGGAGAAAACGUGAAGGGAACCUGGCUGACCCAAGUGCGUGUCAAUAUUGCAUAAUUCUGCAGCGUCUGACCAUGAGCUCACAGACCCUACCAGUUCAAUGCCUCCUGGAUUCUUCAUCCCUGAAUAAAAUUGGGUUGUCUUGAA
This is a long non-coding RNA of Pygocentrus nattereri (red-bellied piranha), 428 nucleotides long. RefSeq lists it as uncharacterized. NCBI's taxonomy places the organism in Eukaryota, Metazoa, Chordata, Actinopteri, Characiformes, Serrasalmidae. The record is from RefSeq and is a predicted model, not a curated record. The transcript is spliced from 4 exons.